Molecule: long non-coding RNA, 861 nt
Filed under: Rattus norvegicus (Norway rat)
Lineage: Eukaryota; Metazoa; Chordata; Mammalia; Rodentia; Muridae
Description: long non-coding RNA NONRATT007222
Source: RNAcentral
ACCCAGAAGAAUGCAGGCGUCGGCCUCCCAGGAAAAGAACCGGAGGAAGCCAGGCCAUAGUGAAGGGGCUCCGUCCGUGCCUGCACCCUCCAGAGGUGACUUUUGUCUCUCCUGCCUGCCUGAGCUCCCCCACCAACUCCCCAGAUAUCUAGACAGGUCUCAGCAUCUCCUCUCACCAAAUCACACACAGGUGCUCACAAUCCUGAGUAUGAGAACAUAGCCUUCAGAAACAGGGACCAGCCCAAACCCAGCCAAUCGACACCCCCACAACAAGUCAAGUUCAAGCCGUCCCCGGACACAGCCCAGGUCCCCCCUUGGUUGCACAGAAGCAUCAUGAUGCUGUAUGUUCUCCUCGCUCUCGUCUUUUUAUUCUGCAUCAUCCUCUCUGCCUUGGCCCUGGUGAAAAUGAGAAUUGGGAACAAGUGUUGAAGAGGCGUGUAUGCAAAUGAAUGCUUUGCAGCACAUGGAGUUUCCAUGUAUUCAAGGAGAAGGUUUGAUGGUGGAAAGAGAACAUGGAAGUUACAGCAGGCAUGACUCUUUAUGGGCCACAGAGGUGUAUGCCCUGGCGUAUAUAGGCAUGUCCUGGUUGGUAGCUGUUCCCAUGAGGUCCCCAAAGUGUGAGUGACGUGUGGGACGUUCCUCCUCAUUAUCUUGACCAUGUCUGUGUGCAACUGGUUUAUUUUGUAUGUGUGUCACUGCAGUGGUGGGUAAGGGACAUCAUCCUGGUGAUGUGUCAUGGCACAGGUCACUCCUAGUGGGCUUGGCCAUGCCAGCUUGUGGGUUCAGAGCAUGUACACAAAUGCAGCCAUCGGUUUCUACACUUGUAUUUAUGAUUCAUGAAGAUAAACGCCAAGGGAAAUG